This 380-nucleotide long non-coding RNA is filed under the name Callithrix jacchus (white-tufted-ear marmoset). Its description in RNAcentral is "lncRNA (ENSCJAG00000078319.1)". Lineage: Eukaryota; Metazoa; Chordata; Mammalia; Primates; Cebidae. The record is from RNAcentral.
CAAGUCAGAUCACUUGGCUCUCUGCCUCCAGCCCCCUUUUUUUCAGGAGAAUGGGUGAUUCUGUCUCACAGGUGUUCUAGGUGCUGGCUAAAAUGGCUGCCCAGUUUUGUGCUGGAAACCUACAGUGCUGGUGUUGUGGAAACUGGUGGGAAUAUCCUGGUCUGUGGGCUUUAAAGACCAUGGGAAAAGUGCAGUAUCUGAGCCGAAGUGCUGGAGCGUCUGGAAAAGUCCCUGAUGGCCUACCUUGGGUCAAAGAGGUGGUUCUCCAGCCCCUUGCACUUCCCAGGAGAUACUGCUCUUGAUGAAUCAAAAGUGGUUUCCUGGCAUGUGUCUUGCUGAGACAGAAGGAAAAACAACACUUAAUCACCGGCAUAUAUCCC